This is a non-coding RNA of Caenorhabditis elegans, 21 nucleotides long. NCBI's taxonomy places the organism in Eukaryota, Metazoa, Nematoda, Chromadorea, Rhabditida, Rhabditidae. The record is from Ensembl.
UUGUGCAAAGCAUUGUUUUGU